CCGAGUUGACAAACUCCCUAAACCCUGUGAACAUACCUUAACUGUUGCCUCGGCGGAGGCAGCCCGCGCCCCCCGGCCCUACGGGACGGCCCGCCGCAGGUACCCUAAACAUCUGAUACUUUAGUGGACUUCUGAGUAUAUACUGAAUAAGUCA
Molecule: unclassified non-coding RNA, 154 nt
Filed under: soil metagenome
Description: partial internal transcribed spacer 1
Source: RNAcentral